Molecule: small nucleolar RNA, 133 nt
Organism: Nannospalax galili (Upper Galilee mountains blind mole rat)
Lineage: Eukaryota; Metazoa; Chordata; Mammalia; Rodentia; Spalacidae
Source: Ensembl
CUCCCUUUUAAAAGCUCUCACUGGGCCUUUUGCUAGAGACACAUUGAGCUGUCAAGAAGGGACAGAGUAAAACACUGCUUUUGGGUGAAGUGGCAACUUGUGUUGUUUUACUUCAAUUGGCCUUGUGACAAGA